AGUGAACUAACCACAGGAAAAUGUGUUCUCUUUAAUCAAGAAGAAAGUCUCUGUUUACUACUAGAACAUCUUUAACACCUCCCAAUAUUUGCAUAUGAUAGAAACCAGAAGAAGUAAAACCUCAGAUCACAAUUCUGUUAACAGCAAAGGCUUAAUCAUUGCCUUUUCAAUGUGUUUGGGUACAAUAAAAGACCCUUGCUUUUUACCAAUGUGUGACAGUGCAUCAACCUGAAAGAACAGGAAAAGCUGCUGCGAUGAGAAACUCGACAUCCAAGGAGUGGAAGUACUGGGUCAUCUGAUAAUCCUGUGUUUAACUUUUUGAGGAACCGCCAUACCGUUUUCCACAGCAUGUGCUCCUUUACUUGUAUGCGUGUAUUCCAUCUCUUCUAACAACACUCCAGCAAAAUAGGCCUACUGCAGGUUACAUUGAGUCUUCUUACUCAACUCCAUUUAUCCAGGAACUGGGCUCCUGACUCUUGAGAGAUGGAGAGAAGUGUGCUGGUGGGCCUGCAAAAGAAGAUAAGUGGGGGCAGAGGAAAUGGCCAUGGAAAAGCACAGAUAUCAUGAAGAGUUAGUGAGGGGAUGGGCUCCUCUGUGGACUAUGAAUAAAGUGUUUACAACACUCUAUGGCAAGUGGAACAAAUCAGACUGCUGAAAGUCAGUAAGGAGUCUCUUGGAAUCCCAUAUGAGACAGAGAUUGCCUCUCUUAAAGUUUAUCAGUUUUAUUUUUGAAUUGCUUUUAUCCAAAACUAGAAAGAAAACUCCUUUACCCUGUCAAAAAACCAACAGACAUGUCUGAACCCUACAAAAUUGCCCAAUCCAUACACAGAUACAUAGAAAUAUGAGGUUUUGAUAAUUUGGAAAAUCAUCCAAACCAUUGUUUAAAUUUUAAUACCUUACUUGUUUUCACUUAGCCUUUCCUGGAGGUUUCUAAGCUCUCCAAAAUUAAUAAAUAAGAGAAGUAACUUAGCCAUUUCUGUGAGUUGCUUAUGUUAGAAAGACAUCUCCAAACUAUAGUCUUUCAAGCACUCCUUUCCUUUGCAGAUGGCUAUUGAUAUAAAUAUUUCUCUAAUUCCCUGAGCGUUCAAAUGGGCUGGAGUUUCAUGUUAAAUCUGGACUUAAGAGAGAGUUCGGUCUCUCUGACUUCAUAUUAUGGUGACUUUUCCAUCUCUGCUCAUUUAUCAGGGAGAUAACUGUCUGUUGGAAUGGCUUUCUUGAUCCUUGAACUAUUAGUGGGAUAGACUCUUAUCUGAUGGCUUCAAGAAGGGCCUGGUUUGCUUGUGGUGGCCAAAAAGGCCUUAAUUGAUACUGCAAAUAGUUAAUUUAUGACCCCAGGUUAAACUGGAAACCUGAUUUCUUGACUAGCAUAUUUAAGAGCUAUUUCUUUUUUUUCUCUUUGUCAAUAGAUCAUAUUUAGUUAUGCUGAUCUGUUCUAUUCAUCCACUUUACCUUUGUGUAAUAAAGUCUUUGAAAGUAUUGCCUUUAUAUUUUCU
Molecule: long non-coding RNA, 1493 nt
Filed under: Homo sapiens (human)
Lineage: Eukaryota; Metazoa; Chordata; Mammalia; Primates; Hominidae
Description: HSALNT0138547
Source: RNAcentral